CGCGAAUGGCUAUUACAACAGCUAAAAUCUACUUGAUCUUGACACAAUCCUACUUGGAUAACUGUGGUAAUUCUAGAGCUAAUACAUGCAUUAAAGCUCUGACCUCACGGGACGAGUGCAUUUAUUAGAACAAAACCAAGCGGCUUCGGCUGUUUUCGGUUGACUCAUAGUAACUGAGCUGAUCGCACGGUCUUGCACCGGCGACGUGUCUUUCAAGUAUCUGCCGUAUCAACUUUCGAUGGUAGUGUAUCUGACUACCGUGGUGAUCACGCGUAACGGAGAAUAAGGGUUCGACUCCGGAGAGUUCGCCUGAGAAAUCGCGAACACAUCUAAGGAAGGCAGCAGGCGCGAAAAUUACCCACUCUCAGCACGAGGAGGUAGUGACGAAAAAUAACGAGACCGUUCUCUUUCGAGGCCGGUCAUCGGAAUGGGUACAAUUUAAACCCUUUAACGAGUAUCUAUGAGAGGGCAAGUCUGGUGCCAGCAGCCGCGGUAAUUCCAGCU
Molecule: ribosomal RNA, 504 nt
Filed under: Heterocephalobus elongatus
Lineage: Eukaryota; Metazoa; Nematoda; Chromadorea; Rhabditida; Cephalobidae
Description: SSU rRNA
Rfam family: Eukaryotic small subunit ribosomal RNA
Source: RNAcentral